Molecule: non-coding RNA, 836 nt
Organism: Paramuricea clavata
Lineage: Eukaryota; Metazoa; Cnidaria; Anthozoa; Malacalcyonacea; Plexauridae
Source: the annotation of a GenBank genome assembly
GCUGAAACAACACGCCUUUUGGGUGUGCUGAAACAGCACGCCUUCGGUUAUGGCAUGCUAAAACAACACGCCUUCUUGAGUAUUAAAUUACACGAACACGUAUUUUGUAUUAUAUGGUCAAAAAAUAUUUUAAUUCGAAUGUACACAAUAUCAAUAUGAAAACGGCCUUGUAAGGUCUGCUGUGUAAUACAUUAAAAUAUUCUACAUUAGAACAUGCAAAUAUAACAAAUGAAUGCAAAUUGUUCAUAUCAGACGUUUUCAUACAGUUAUUAAUAUGGCAGUAAAAUACAACGCCAUAUUUGCGAGGUUAACAUCCAUUAUAAUCGCACCAGUCUAGGCUUCAGUCUUUUCUUCAUUAAGACAUUUUUCAUCUACACAUCUAUCUUAAAUAAACUCCAGUUCCAAAUGGGAUAAAUAUUGUUGCAAUCAGAUAAAGUAAGCAAUUUGUAAUAGAAAUGUCCAAUUAGGCUAUUUGCCAUAAACAUAUCAAAUAUAGAGUGAGGAUAGUGGGCAUCAAAUACAUCAAUAACAAUCUGCAUGAUAUAAGGUUAACCAGGGCUUCCAAGAGAUUUGUUGUUGUCGCAAGGAUAGACUUAUCUUUCUCCAAACAAAUGCUUUAAAGCUAGCAUCUUCUGGUGUGGUGGUUACUACAAGUUUAAAUUCUACCAUCUUGACUUUGAACAAUAUGUCAACUUUGGCGUGAGGAGAUUGCUAAGUAUAAAAACAUAAUUCAAUAAAUUACCGCGCUAAGGGGAAAGUGCUCGUGGGCUGUAAGGGUGUGGGUGUAUUAAAUGUUCACAAUCGCACUUUAUUUAGCUUAAACAAAAACAAUCAAA